RNAcentral lists this ribosomal RNA (434 nucleotides) under uncultured archaeon. RNAcentral describes it as "bacterial SSU rRNA". It matches the Rfam family "Archaeal small subunit ribosomal RNA", at positions 19 to 458 of the family's 1478-position model. The record is from RNAcentral.
GGACCUGACUGCUAUCGGAUUGAUACUAAGCCAUGCGAGUCAUUGUAGCAAUACAAGGCAUACGGCUCAGUAACGCGUAGUCAACCUAACCUAUGGACGGGAAUAACCUCGGGAAACUGAGAAUAAUGCCCGAUAGAACAUUAUACCUGGAAUGGUUUAUGUUCCAAAUGAUUUAUCGCCGUAGGAUGGGACUGCGGCCUAUCAGUUUGUUGGUGAGGUAAUGGCCCACCAAGACUAUUACAGGUACGGGCUCUGAGAGGAGUAGCCCGGAGAUGGGUACUGAGACACGGACCCAGGCCCUAUGGGGCGCAGCAGGCGAGAAAACUUUGCAAUGUGCGAAAGCACGACAAGGUUAAUCCGAGUGAUUUCUGCUAAAGAAACCUUUUGUCAGUCCUAGAAACACUGAUGAAUAAGGGGUGGGCAAGUUCUGGUGU